RNAcentral lists this ribosomal RNA (121 nucleotides) under Desulfobacter vibrioformis. The record is from RNAcentral. Lineage: Bacteria; Pseudomonadati; Thermodesulfobacteriota; Desulfobacteria; Desulfobacterales; Desulfobacteraceae.
UAACCGGUGGCGAUGGCGAAGAGGCCACACCCGUACCCAUCUCGAACACGGAAGUUAAGCUCUUUAGCGUCGAUGGUACUGCAUGGGAGACUGUGUGGGAGAGUAGAACGCUGCCGGUUCU